Molecule: long non-coding RNA, 3361 nt
Filed under: Homo sapiens (human)
Lineage: Eukaryota; Metazoa; Chordata; Mammalia; Primates; Hominidae
Description: HSALNT0172516
Source: RNAcentral
GUUUUUUUCAAAAAGACUAACAAUAUCAGGUGUUGGUGAGGAUGUGGAGCAACUGGAAUGAAUGCCUAAACAUUGCUGACACAAGUGUAAAUUGGGAAAACCACUUUGGAAAACUGGUAGUAUUGACUAAAGGUAAUUAAAUGCUUUCCCUUUGACCAAGCAAUUACACACCUGGGUUUAUACCUAAUAGAAAUGAGUUAUCAUAUCCUCCAAAAGAGAGGUACAAGAAUGUUCAUAGUGCCUUUACUCAUAAUAGCCCCCAAAUAGGAAACAACUCAAAUUUUCACCAACAAUACAAUAGAUAAAUUACAGUCUAUGUGUACAAUAGGAUACUACAUAACAAUGAAAGAAGAUAUAGACAAUAUGAAUGUAUCUCACAGCCAUAAUACUGAACAAAAGAAGCCAGAUGCAAUACAGUGCAUACCAUAUGAUUUUAUUUAUAGAAAUCCAAAAACAAGCAAGGUCCAUAGAUGGUGAUAUAGAGCAGAAUUGUGGUUAUCUUUGGGAAGGGGCACAAGAAAUUCUAUAGGGUGCUGAAAAUACAGUUGUCUCUCAGUACAUGCAGAGAUUGGUUCCAGGGCCACACCUGAAGAUACCCACAUCCACACAUACUCAAGUCCCAUAGCUAGCCUUUUGGAACCUGCAGAUACAAAAAGUUGGCCCUCUUUAUAAGUGGGUUUUGCAUCCCACCAAUAUUGUAUUUCUGAUCUGCAUUUGGUUGAAAAAAAUAUGCCUAUAAGUGGACUCACACUAUUAAAAUCCAUGUCAUUCAAGUGUCAACUGUAGCCUGGAUCUCAGUUGAGAUGGUUGGUGCCUACAUGGGUGCACACGAAUGCAAACAUUCAUCAAGCUAUAUGCUUAAGAUAUACGAACUGUUCAACCUCAACGAAAGAAAACAAAGGGAAAAACUCACAAAUACCAUAAAACCGUGGUUCUCAAAAUGUGGUUCCCAGUGCAGCACCAGGGAACAUGUUAGAAAUGCAAAUUCCCUGACCCCAUCACAGACCCACUGAAUCAGAUGGGGAUGGGGUCUAGCAAUCUGUGCUUUAACAAGCCAAGGUAAUUCUGACACAUGCUAAUGUUUAAGCAUCCUUGCCAUAAGAUGUGGGUAUUAUUAGCCCCACUUUGCAUAUUUAAAAAAGCUAAGGCUCAUAGAGAGAAAGUAACAUAUCCAAGUUCAGCCAACUACUAAGAAACUAAGUGUCAUGAGCUGCACAAGAUAAGAUAUAACCAGGCCCAUGCAUGUUUGUGUCUUUUCAUAAGGUCUGAUUUAUUGAUGCUUAUUCAACCAUAAAAGCCACAAGCUACAUGGAGUUCCCAAGAAGGAAAUUCUUAGUACUAUCCAUUUGCUUGGUAGUCAGAGACAUGGCACACAGGCUCAAGCCACAGCAUAGGUCAGUCAAAAUUGCAAAACCAUACAUAGUAGUAUACUCAAUAUAUAAAUGUUACAGAUUACAUCAAACAGAGUAACAUUUAACAUCAAGAGAAGAGGGGUGUAUUAGUCAGGGUUCUCCAGAGGGACAGAACUAACAGGAUAUAUGUAUAUAUGAAAGGGAGUUUAUUAAGGAGAAUUGGCUCACGCAAUCACAAGUUAAAGUCCCACAAUAGGCUAUCUGCAAGUUGAGGAGCAAGGAAGUCAGUGGUGGAUCAGUCUGGGUCCCCAAACCUCAAAACUGGGGAAGCCAACAGUGCAGGCUUCAGUCUGUGGCCAAAGGCCUGAGAGCCCCUGGCAAACCACUGGUGUAAGUCCAAGAGUCCAAAAACUGAAGAACUUGGAGUCUGAUGUUCAAGGGCAGGAAGCAUCCAGCAUGGGAGAAAGAUGAAGGCUGGAAGACUCAGCAAGUCUGCUCUUCCAUCUUCUGCUACCUGCUUUAUUCUAGCAUCACUGGCAGCUGAUUAGAUGGUGCCCACCCAGAUUGAGGGUAGGUCUGCCUCUCCCAGUCCACUGACUCAAAUGUUAAUCUCCUUUGGUAACACAGUCACAGACACACCCAGGAACAAUACUUUGCAUCCUUCAAUCCAAUCAAGUUGACACUCAAUAUUAACCAUCACAAGGGAAUUUAAAAUGGGGUUAAUAAACCAGUCCAAGGAGAGUGACGUGUACAGACAGAGAGUGUCCCAGGCUGAUCUGGAUGGGAGUCAACGUCUUGCAAGGAAGAGUCCUUGAUUUGGGCAGAGACUUCAGCAGCAGUUGCUGGGUGCUGAGGUGCUGAGUGACAGCAAGACAGUGUCUAUUAAGGCAGCCACCUUGAGCUGGUGAAGUUCUAUUCAUUUUAUAGCUCUUGAGUUCGCUGGUAUAAAUUGAUAGUAAAGAAUGUGACUGGUCAUGUCCUUAUCUAGUUGGGUGUAAUCUCUAUUGAUUAGGCAAACAUCCAGUCCCUAUUGGCAUCAUGGCUUUUGAAAUGUAAGAUGGAGUCUUUUUCUAAGAUGGAGUUACUUAUGUCAAGGGUGCUGUAUACACUAAGCUAGCAUUUGAACCCAUAUCUGCCUCAGUCCUGUGCUCCUUUUGCAAAACCACACCGUCUCCCUCUAUAGAAAUAUGGCUUUGCCAAGAGGGAUGUGAUAUGAGGCCAUGUUGUAUCACUUCAUUAAUAAAAACAGGAUUCUACUUCUGGGUUCCUAUAGGCAGACAGGGCAGAAGGGUAUGAAUUUCAAUUUCACAGGUUUUGCAAUGGAGAAGGCCAGCUGAGACCUAUUUCCUUGUUUUUCUAAACUGGUCUGAUGCAGGAAGAGUUCCUGGAGGUGAAGCUGGAAAAAAAGACAGAGCCUAGGAUCUGGCAUGCCUUUUAAACCAUCUUUAGGAGUUUGGACUUGGACCCAGGAGCAACAGGAAAUCCAUCAUCUCUUCCCACUCUGACUCAGCCGCAACUGAAAGGAGAAAACGGCAAGAGAGAGAGAGGCGGGAGGAAGGAACUGAAGACUCCUGAGGUGGCUGCAGCACUGCCCUGGCUUCCAGAAAGCUCUCGAGCAUGCUGGGUCUCCUCAGGGACCAAGAAGACGAGGUGCGGAAGCUGCUGCUGGGUAACAGCCUUAGUCAUAAAAGUAACACUGUGAAAAAUCCAUUUUGUGGGUAACAAUGAGAAGUUAAUACAAAGACUCAUUGCCCUUCGUUAGUAAAAACUUUGGCAGUGACCUUCCAGGCUCCCGGGAAGCCUUUGGAGAAUGCUGCUUCAACCCAGAAGCACUUCAUCAUUUAUAUGAAUGAAAAUGAGUGCAAACAGAUUGUCGAGAUGUCUGUUCACAUCACCUCUUUUUUCUUGCAAGGAAUCCCCUCUGUAAUUACAUUUUGCCUGUCAGUUCAUAAAUUUUUCUUAUUACAAACUAGCCAUUAUUGAUUGCUUUUUAAAAGUACUAAAACUGG